GGCCCGUUCCCGAGGCCGGAGUCCCGACCCGAAACCGUCCCCGGCCGGCUCGCUCGCUCAGCAGGGCGCGGCUCCAGCGCCACCCGGUUCGCCCCGAAGAGUUCGCAGAUUUCCGCCCACCUUCCGCCUAGUCUAGCCGCGCCGCAGCUAGCGGGGUGAUCUUUCCCCCGCUCUGGUAGGAGUUGGUGAAGAUUUCUACCGCAAAGAGAUCGAAGUGGACUCUUCCCCGUCCGUGCUGGAAAUUCUGGACACCGCAGGAACUGAGCAGUUUGCCUCCAUGAGAGAUCUCUACAUCAAAAACGGCCAAGGUUUCAUCCUGGUUUAUAGCCUGGUUAAUCAACAGUCUUUUCAGGAUAUCAAGCCAAUGAGAGAUCAAAUUGUCAGAGUGAAGAGAUAUGAAAAAGUCCCACUAAUCCUAGUAGGAAAUAAAGUGGAUCUGGAACCAGAAAGAGAGGUUAUGUCUUCAGAAGGCAGAGCUCUGGCUCAAGAAUGGGGCUGUCCUUUCAUGGAGACAUCGGCAAAAAGUAAAUCAAUGGUGGAUGAACUUUUUGCUGAGAUCGUCAGGCAAAUGAACUAUUCAUCCCUGCCGGAGAAGCAAGAUCAGUGUUGUACAACUUGCGUCGUCCAGUAAAAAAGAUAACCUCAAUCAUGGCCAUACCGAGCAGAUAAAACUCAGAGGAAAUUUGCACAGAUGCUGCUUUGGAGAACUUUACAACCUGGGUUGCAGAACUGAGCCUUGGUAAACCUGUCUCUAUUACAGCAUGUUGCCAUACAUCUAUUUAAGUGCGUAAGGUCUUUGGCCUU
Molecule: small RNA, 804 nt
Filed under: Pongo abelii (Sumatran orangutan)
Lineage: Eukaryota; Metazoa; Chordata; Mammalia; Primates; Hominidae
Description: processed transcript
Source: RNAcentral